Molecule: long non-coding RNA, 730 nt
Filed under: Solanum pimpinellifolium
Lineage: Eukaryota; Viridiplantae; Streptophyta; Magnoliopsida; Solanales; Solanaceae
Description: long non-coding RNA (SPIM_LNC000147)
Source: RNAcentral
UUUUCUUGAAUUCCAAAAUUCUCCGCCUUUUCUCAGCUUGACACCUACUUUAGAACCAUCCUUUUCGUCGUACGACAAAGCUUCCUUGUAAACUAAGGCUAAGGCACGCUCGAUAGCAAGAAGCUAGUGACUUCUUUCAGGUCAUUAACUAGAACUUGCACGAGGUAUCACAGUGGGGCCUGUCUUCUGUCCGGUUCUUGGGUCCGGUCGAGCCUCUUUGAAAUUACAUCCCUGCCUCUCGUCUAACUCGAGUUGCCCCGCUCCUUUGGCAGUUAAAGUAGCUCGCUUCAAGAAGUCAGAUUAUAUCCCUAGGGGUAUGUUACGAGCAGAAGUUCUCUUGCUAGUGGAAGUAAGAGUAGCAAGGUUAGGACCGCAUAUAAAUAGUUUAGGGGAAAGAAAUUGGAUUCCCUAGAAGUUUGUCCGGUUGGGAAAGCCAGAACUCUUGUAAACCAGCUUGAUAAAGGGUAGUGGUAGGGACAGUCUCAGUACCACUGAAAGUGCGAUAGUCCUUCAAGCAAGGGACUUGGGCAAACAAAGUCCUUACUCGUAUUCCACCAACAACUCGCGUAUCGUAUAGAGCUUUUUCCUAUCCUUUCCGCAUAGACUUGCUUCGCACCUGUGUCAAAAGCCACUGCUUGCUUUGAAACCUAUUCGGAUGGCGCGAGAUACGAUACGCUUUGCUUUCUUGUUGCGUGAAAGUGCUUGAGCGACCGUCGGGAAAGAUUUUUAG